Triticum aestivum (bread wheat) is the source of this 150-nucleotide non-coding RNA. The record is from Rfam. Lineage: Eukaryota; Viridiplantae; Streptophyta; Magnoliopsida; Poales; Poaceae.
CUUCUACUCCCUCCGUUCUAAAAUAAAUGACUCAACUUUGUACUAACUCUAUAGUUAGUACAAAGUUGAGUCAUCUAUUUUGGAACUUUGUACUAACUCUAUAGUUAGUACAAAGUUGAGUCAUCUAUUUUGGAACGGAGGGAGUACAUG